GUGUUAGUAUGGAACACCAGGCAUGCACACCAGAUUCUAAUUGUAUUUUCUUUUCUCUCCCUUCCCAUAUGCAUUGGUGAAGCUUCUUGAAGGGUAUGAACAACAAAGGAGAAAUCUUACACCAAGAAGCCAGCAACUGUUGGACAGCCCUGUACUGCGCAGUUAUGAUGAAUAUGAAACAGCAGAUGAUGUGACUGAUGUGGAAUCUGAAGUGACUGACGUAGAGUCUGAAGUGACUGAUGUAGAAUCUGAAGUGACUGAUGCAGAGUCUGAAGUGACUGAUGCAGAGUCUGAAGUGAUUGACAUAGAGUAUGCAGUGGCUGACACAGAGUAUGCACCGGCUGAUGUAGCGCCUGAAGUACGGAGAUCAUUGGACGAGGAACCUGCAAUUUCAGAGGAAUGGCAACGAGCUGUAAGGUGCCCGAUCUGCAUGGAUUUUUUUUCACAGAUUAUACGAAGUGUCCGACAGGUUGUGUCAACCCAGUGUGGCCAUCUCUUCUGCAGUCGGUGCAUCGCUGUUGCCCUUGAGAAUUCCAGGGCUUGCCCAACCUGCAGAACAGAACUCCCUCCCAGAGACUAUCAUCCCGUUUAUUUCUGAGUAUUUCUGUUUCUCAGGACAGAAGUAUC
Molecule: long non-coding RNA, 627 nt
Organism: Pseudopipra pipra
Lineage: Eukaryota; Metazoa; Chordata; Aves; Passeriformes; Pipridae
Exons: 4
Source: RefSeq, a predicted model, not a curated record